Mustela erminea (ermine) is the source of this 109-nucleotide long non-coding RNA. RefSeq lists it as uncharacterized. The record is from RefSeq and is a predicted model, not a curated record. NCBI's taxonomy places the organism in Eukaryota, Metazoa, Chordata, Mammalia, Carnivora, Mustelidae. The transcript has 3 exons.
UUUUUUAAGAGAUUUUAUUUAAUUAUUUGAAAGAGACACAGUGAGAGAGGACAUACAAGCAGUGGGGAGUGGAGAGAGGGAAGCAGGCUCCCUGCUGAGCAGAGAGCCC